Molecule: ribosomal RNA, 433 nt
Filed under: uncultured bacterium
Lineage: Bacteria
Description: partial 16S ribosomal RNA
Rfam family: Bacterial small subunit ribosomal RNA
Source: RNAcentral
AACGAACGCUGGCGGCAUGCCUAACACAUGCAAGUCGAACGAGACCUUCGUGUCUGGUUGCGCACGGGGGCGUAACGCGUGGGAACGUGCCCUUAUGUUCCGAAUAACUCUCCGAAGGGGGGGCUAAUACCGGGUAAUUUCUUCUGACCAAAGAUUUAUCGACUUGGGGUGGGCCGGCGUUGUAUUAGCUUGUUGGUAGGGUAAAAGCCUACGAAGGCGACGAUCCAUAGCGGGUCUGAGAGGAUGAGCAGCGACACUGGGACUAGGAAGCGGUGCAGAAUACUACGCGAGGCAGCAGUGGGGAAUAUUGCAAAACCGGGGAAAGGCUGAACCAGCAAUGCCGCGUGAGUGAUGAAGUCCUGAGGGUAGUAAAGCUCUUUUACCCGCGAUGAUAAUGACGGUACCGGGAGAAUAAGCUCCGGCUAACUUCGUG